RNAcentral lists this ribosomal RNA (404 nucleotides) under uncultured prokaryote. Its description in RNAcentral is "bacterial SSU rRNA". It matches the Rfam family "Bacterial small subunit ribosomal RNA", at positions 355 to 776 of the family's 1533-position model. The record is from RNAcentral. RNAcentral also lists the same sequence under 1 other name.
UGGGGAAUAUUGCACAAUGGGCGAAAGCCUGAUGCAGCGACGCCGCGUGAAGGAUGAAGUAUUUCGGUAUGUAAACUUCUAUCAGCAGGGAAGAAAAUGACGGUACCUGACUAAGAAGCCCCGGCUAACUACGUGCCAGCAGCCGCGGUAAUACGUAGGGGGCAAGCGUUAUCCGGAUUUACUGGGUGUAAAGGGAGCGUAGACGGCUUGGCAAGUCUGAAGUGAAAGGCAAGGGCUCAACCUUUGGACUGCUUUGGAAACUGUCAGGCUAGAGUGUCGGAGAGGCAAGUGGAAUUCCUAGUGUAGCGGUGAAAUGCGUAGAUAUUAGGAGGAACACCAGUGGCGAAGGCGGCUUGCUGGACGAUGACUGACGUUGAGGCUCGAAAGCGUGGGGAGCAAACAGG